Armigeres subalbatus is the source of this 1435-nucleotide long non-coding RNA. RefSeq lists it as uncharacterized. The record is from RefSeq and is a predicted model, not a curated record. The transcript has 3 exons. Lineage: Eukaryota; Metazoa; Arthropoda; Insecta; Diptera; Culicidae.
UGAUAAAACGUCAAACAAUGUAACUGAUGUAACACCUCGAGCUCUCGAGAUAAACAGUGAAUAAACACUCGUUCUCUUUUCAUCUGGACCACCGACCAAGCUAGACGUCUUUUCUUUUCAAGUGGCGACGAGGGAAAACUUUUACAGUGACUAGUGAAUAAUUAGUAAAAGCUAAAUCCGUUUAAGUAAACGAUUACUGUUUUUGCUAUACUACGGCAACAGAUAGACUUUAUUGCAGUGCUUAAGUGUGUUUGAAGGGUUACCGCAAAGCGGCACUUUUACGAGUACGGGUGUGAUUUUUAUCAACGACAACGGGUACGCAAAAGCACGUCGACGGCAGCUUGUGGUAACGGGAUUAGCCGGCAUUUUGUAAAAGUGCAAGUGAAGCGUUUGCUGAAAAUUCUGUUCGGUGCACGCCAAGGGCAGCAAUCACGGCAUACAAGACGGAAUCUGGCCGUUGCGACGACGGAAACGACGGUAUUAGCUAGCCACACGACGAAAAUUGUACAUCUGUUCGAGAAAUUUCCUGCUGCAACGGCAACGGCGGCAAACAAUAGCGAGAGGUGCGGACUGUAUCUGCAAAUUGGUUUUCAAAGGCGCCGAAUAACCAAGUCAGUGGUAGCUGGUUUUGCUUAACAUCGUACGUUUUUGCGGAGGAGAAAAAAACCGUUGUCGUCGAAAGGUCGGCAGUGGUGGAGUUCCGCGGUAGGAAAUCAGUGUCACGUCGUUUUUCGGAGAACACAGUGUAGGGUAACUGCGACAAUUGUCGGCACGGGCAAAGGCCUAGGCAAAAGCCAAUAGCAUCUGAACGGAUAGCAAUUGGAAGCGCUCUCACCAUGGCCCACCGAAGUCAGCUUAGGUGCUACAAGGGGCAAACUCCGCAGCCGAGACAAAACGUGUGGCUAGGAGUCGGUACGGGUGGUAGAGAGGCUACGGUCGAAGAACGAACUGGAAUUGAAGAACGACACGAAGAGGACACGGAAGAAGUUAACGCUGGAAGCGGCUCUGAUGAAGAACCAUUCAGGGGAUUCCCUAUGGUUUCGGCAAAGGCCAGAAAACGAAACGCGACUUCGGCAGACUUGCCGAACGUGUGUCUACGGCGAUCGAAGAGGAUUCGCCAGCGAAAGGAAGAUCCGGAAUUCGAUUAUUCUUAGUGAAAUUCGAUGUGAUGAAUUUUUUUAAAGUGAAUUGUUCGAAUGAAUUUUGUUUAUAUUUGAUAAUUUCAAGUUCUGAUUUUUUAUAUGAAUACUAUUGUAUUAAUUUCAAGGGGGGACAGCUGUUGUGUCACCCACACCAAACACCUAAUAAUUGUACAUACCUUAAGUUAAAACACCUUGAUAAAACGUCAAACAAUGUAACUGAUGUAACACCUCGAGCUCUCGAGAUAAACAGUGAAUAAACACUCGUUCUCUUUUCAUCUGGACCACCGACCAAG